CCUACGGGGGGCAGCAGUGGGGAAUAUUGCACAAUGGGGGAAACCCUGAUGCAGCGACGCCGCGUGAGUGAAGAAGUAUUUCGGUAUGUAAAGCUCUAUUAGCAGGGAAGAAAAUGACGGUAACUGAUUAAGAAGCCCCUGCGGACUACGUGCCAGCAACCGCGGUAAUACGUAGGGGGCAAGCGUGAUCCGGAUUUCAUGGGUGUAAAGGGAGCGGAGACGGCAGCACAAGUAUGGAGUGAAAUGCCGGGGCUUAACCGCGGAACUGCUUUGGAAACUGGGCAGCUAGAGUGCAGAAGAGGUGAGUGGAAUUCCUAGUGUAGCGGUGAAAUGCGUAGAUAUUAGGAGGAACACCAGUGGCGAAGGCGACUUACUGGACUGUAACUGACGUUGAGGCUCGAAAGCGUGGGGAGCAAACAGGAGUAGAUACCCGGGUAGUC
RNAcentral lists this ribosomal RNA (440 nucleotides) under uncultured bacterium. RNAcentral describes it as "partial 16S ribosomal RNA". It matches the Rfam family "Bacterial small subunit ribosomal RNA", at positions 338 to 795 of the family's 1533-position model. The record is from RNAcentral.